Molecule: long non-coding RNA, 557 nt
Organism: Fukomys damarensis (Damara mole-rat)
Lineage: Eukaryota; Metazoa; Chordata; Mammalia; Rodentia; Bathyergidae
Exons: 5
Source: RefSeq, a predicted model, not a curated record
AGAUCCCGUUUUCUAAAGUUUGAGGUCAUUUUCUUGUGCUUACAGGAGCCUCCGAACAGCGAUGUACAGUUUCUGGACUGAGAGAAGAACCCAGUUGUGGACCUCGAGUGGGAGAAGUGAGAGUCUAACCUCAGGCUGUUGUGCCCUCCUGCGUGUCCUCCCUUCUCCCCACAGUGGGGCCCAACUCUGUAUUGACUCUGUGUUCAAAAUUUACAGACACCGGAGGCAUUGGCCAUGAAGCAGGACAUCUGGCCUCAUCCCCCAUCUUGAACACCUGCUUUCUGUGCCAUAGAAGAGAUAGCUCAGCGAAUCUUGAGAAUGCUGAAGUGAAACGAAGCAAAACAAAACCACUUUUCCAAGUGUGAAAUAAAAGCCUGAGAAAGCAGUCUGGGUGGCCGGGCCUCCAAGUGCUGGAUUUCUGUGCACGGAAUGGAUGACAUCAGCUCAGGAGGGAAAGAAAUGCUGUCUUGAGUAACACCAGAUACAACUGGCCUUUUCUUGGAACAUUCGGCUUGGCAAGUGGAGGCUGUGUCUUCCCUGUCUCCCCACUACACCUG